Long non-coding RNA from Columba livia (rock pigeon), 16756 nucleotides. RefSeq lists it as uncharacterized. The transcript has 4 exons. The record is from RefSeq and is a predicted model, not a curated record. NCBI's taxonomy places the organism in Eukaryota, Metazoa, Chordata, Aves, Columbiformes, Columbidae.
CUUUCCCUUUUCCCUUCCCUUUUCUCUUUUUUUUAUUUUCCCUUUUUUUUUUUUUUUUUAACUGGGGCAGAGAAGUGAUUACCAUAUUUUCUUUUUUAUUCCGGCAUCUACAAGUGAGAAGAACAUAAGUGUCUGCUAAACACUGAUACUAUUUGAUAGUAGCAAUUCAUACUCUGAUUUUGUCCUUUUAGGACUGCUAAUAUUUUUCUUCUGACAGAUUUGGAAAAUAAAUCAGUAGCUGCAGCAACAGGGCCAGCAAAAAAAGAAUAUAACUUAUUCAAGUGAAUUAAAAUUCAGAAAAGUGAUGCUGAUAACAAACAAGCUUACAUAUAUGGCAUAAAAGUGGCCAUAUAAAUUUUCUUCAGCUGGACACCAUCACUUCAACGGCAGUCCUGGCCUGGACUUUAACCUCAGUUUGGUUUUGGCUCGAGUGCUGGAGAUAACCUAGAGCAACUCCAAUGCUCCAGAACGCAACUGUUGCCUGAGGCUCCCUGUGGACCACCAUGCAGCUCUUGCUGCCACUGUGCCUUUCCACUGUGGGAAACCUCUGCAAGGGUGAUCAAAAGAGAUUACAGUCUCACCACCUGGGAGACCCACUCACCCAUUCUUGAAAAACUGUAUGGUAAUUAUUAAUCAAUGAUAAUUUGGAAACAGGCUAAAAUUAGGCCAUGAACAACAGAAAAGAGGCUGGAGCAGUAUUUCAUGGAUGGCAUUUCUUUUUUUGAGUAACUUUCGCACAUGUUCCGUCUUGAGUCUGAGGAUGGAUAUAAUUACCUGUAAUGGGCUCUUAAAAAUGUCUUUUGCAGGAGUGGACAUCUGAGGUCAGAGAGGAGAGUACUUCACAUUUUGGCUUCACCACAGACAGCAAGUACUCCUUCUGCACAAAAUUACUACAGAACUAUUUCUGAUCUAGAGGGAAAUAGCCAUAAAUGUUAAUUACAGCUCUUACUCUUCACAUGUAGUGAAGUGGCAGGAAAAAUAAAGUCUGUCCUCUUAACUAUGGAAGAUGAGAUGAGGUAUAAUGACAGACAAUGAAGGAUAAUUACAUGGAAAGCAAAGUUCAAACAUCGCUCUCGGUAAUCAAGCAAUAGUGGAUAUCUAGCAUGAAUGCUGUGAAACCUUAACAUCUCAGGGUCAUCUCCUGUAUCAUCCUCAGGGCUUGCAUUUUACAUCCCAUCAAGCAGAAGCCUCAGCUCUGAUAUUUUUUUGAGACAUAUGAGACCACAGGAGCUCCCUAGGCCUGGCCAGUUGGUGUCCAGCGGUUCACUCUACUGUGAAAAGACCCCUCUUGCUCUGCCUUCUCAGCUGGUAUUCAGAUGCUGCCCAGCAGCAUUGAGGUUAAUGGGUCAGACCAUGAAAAGGGAGGAUUUGCUUUACAAACAUGCCAUCAGCCUGCAGGCUGGAAAACCACAAAGAGUUACAGGUGAUGCCAGUAUUGGAAAGCUGGACAGCUCAGGAGAACUCCAUGAACAGGGGACAGAGUAGGACAGUAAUUAUUGCUGGUUCAUUUAGAGUGAAAGUUAUCUUUGUGUAUAAUGUCUGUUCACUAUCUGAGUUUUCAAAAGACUUGUGAUGGUUGGCAUGGUGUCUUGCUGGAAGCAGGCCCUCUGCAUGUCAAUGAACUUCACUUAUUUGAGGGAAACCUCUGCCUUAUGGAAAAAUAUUUUUGUCCAAUUUUUUGACUUGAAGAUACCCAUCCAAAGUAGGUUAAUUGAUUGCUUUGCUGACAAGUGGGGAGAUGGGGAGUGGGGAUAAAGAAAUAAUAAUAAUAAUAAAAAAGUAAGUUUGAGGUAUGGGAAACCAUAAAUGGAAAUGAGAACUAAAAUGUAGAUGAGUUGGUUUGGUUGCUUUAAUCAAGUUUUUGGAAGAAGUUUAAACAAGGAGCAAUGAGUAUUCCACCUUGGAAACACUUGCCUGUGUUUAAACAGCUGUAGUUUUAUUUUCUCUCCUGCACUGGUCUUUCUGUUCAAGCAGCUCUUACUCUAUUGCUCUAAUACAGUCUUCUUUUCAGGCUACCAAACAAUCUUGUUUAUUGUUUCACAUCCAUGUGCUGUGUGAAAAAAAAAAAAAAAAAAAAAAAAGUGCUAUGACUCCUGAUAACUUUCUCAAAAGCUCCAGAUCCCAAGUGAAGCAGCCUCUUCUAAAAAAUCGCCCAUUUCUGCCGGCAAUAGCGUCUUCUAAGAUCCUGGGAGGGUGACAGCGCAGCACUAGUUGUUUGCGAGUGUUCCCCAGCUGCGGGAUGCAGCUGCCAGCCCCGGACCCUCCAGCCGCCCGGCAGCGCUGCGGAGCCAGUGAUGCAGAGUGGCCGGGGACUGCAGAGGGGCCGGGGAUGCAAAGGGACCGGGGACCCCGAGACCGCUGCCGCUGCGCAGUGCCCAGUGAGCCGCCAGGUGGCGAGACAGGGCUGUGCUGCCCCCGCGCUGCUGCUGCCCCCGCCCUGGUGCUGCCCAUGCCGGGUGCUGCCCGUGACCUGCCUACUCAGCUUUGCAGGAUGCAGCGCAACCCUCCACCCCUUUCUGUGGCAUAUUUUGCCUCUUGCUUUUCACAGUCAGAUUAACUUCAGCUCUGGUUUACAGGCACUGCCAGGCACAGCUUCCGGUUUCUCUAUUGGCUUGCGUGGCACUUCCACCCCAGAGAGUUAAUGGAGUCUAUUAACUCUCAAAUAGAAUUGCAUUGCUGCUGUAGGUAUGCACAGUCAGGUCAAGAAGAGGGAAAUUUUUAUAAUCUACCACCAGAUGUUAGUGAUGUUGUAUUUUCACUCAUAGCUACCUAGGGGAUAUACCUGUGAUGGUCCCUGAGAGAUAGGUACAUUACACAUGACAUCUGCAGACAUGACUCCUUUGAAACAUGGAGAAUGAGUCCAAGACGCCAGGGAAAGCACGAGGUCCUUACUGCAUUUUUACUACAGCUUUGUUUCCUCCAUAGGAACGAGGGUCUGAAAGGAUGUCUGCAACACCAUAAAACUAGUCAAUGUGGUUUUGUGUUUCCUUCUGGAAUUGUAGUUACUUCAGUGAAAAUGGUUUGUAGGCCAAAGACUGUAUAUCAAAAAUAAAAAUUAAGAAUAAUAGUUCGUGGCAUUGAAAGCCAAAUGCUGGGGUGACUGUUUACUUGACGCCACCAUGUAUUUUUAAGGGAAGUGAUAUUCCCCAAAAGUUUCAUUUUUUUGAAUGACUUUGUCAUUAUAUAAGGGAAAAGCCAUUACUAUCUAAGUCAAAAGACUUUCCAUAUGUCUAAACAGCACAUAAAGUCAGCCUGUAUAAUCUCCACAUCUCACUACCUCAGCCUAUUCAUUGGCAUAGACUGUGCUUCUGGACCUUUUUUCAUGGAGCGCAAAGAGUAACUUCCAUACAGAUCAGAAAGGUAAUCUGAACUCUUGAAUCUAUUCCAAUAUUAGAAUUUGGGCUGAUAUAUUCUCCGACUAUGGCUAGGCAUGGUGUUCUUCCAUCUAAAAUCAGUGCUUUCAGAUGUCACCUUGUUAGCUACAGGUUACCAGAAGAACAAGCAAAAGAUAGAUCAGAUGAGGCAGGAGAAAGGUUGGUACUGAGACAUCCUCCAAGAACUGCCAUGAGGAUUCAGGAAGACAGGAAAAGUAGACUUAAGAUACCUGAUUGUAUUUAAGAUUUCACAGACCCACCCAGAGCCACCUGGCAAAAGGUAUGUCUGUGGUGGUAACAGUCAGAUGUCUGAAAUCAACCCUAGCCCAAAAUCAAAUUUAAAUGUGAUCACCUGAUCUUUAGAUUUAGUCAUCUCAUCAGGCUACAAUCUGGGUCUUUUCCCAAGGCAGGCAGAGUUCAAUUAGGAUCAGGAAACACAAGCAGAAGUGAUUUAGGCUACAGUCCCUGCUAGGUAACUGCUGUUAUGAGCGGCUAUUAAUCUUCUUACUUGCCUGACUAAGGCAAGUUGCAGAUUAAGCAAUUCAAGCCAGCAGGAAGAGAUCAGCUGGAGUUAGAAAGUUAGGCUUUGUAGGGACUGCCCAGAUAUGUUUAGUACUUAAAGUGGCUUGUGUUAACUACAUGAUUCCAGGUCUAGGCUAUGCAAGAGCCAUCAGCUAAGGUAAAACAGUGGGGAUGAUAUCACAGUGUAUGUAUAUGUAAUUCUGUAUUACUGUUGAUAGGCUAAAUCCAACGUGGUCAGACCUGCUGAGGUGUGGGGAUGGACAGUGGUAGGGGACAGCAAGAAAUGAGGAUUACUUGCCCAAGCCAAACAUUCGCAGCAAGUGCUAUAACUAAGCACUUUAUUCAGACUUGAGUAAUUGUGUACAGUAUUAUAAUUGGUUUAGAAGGCUUCCUCUCGGUCUCACCUCAAUUUAGAGAAAGCUGAUAGGCUAAAGCAAUAACAGUAUUGGGAUUAAUAUUCGUGCUGGCAGAGAAAACAAGCAUUAAGAUUUACUUUUUUGAAGAGAAGAGUUUUCAAGAUCAGGUCUGUACUUAGUGAAGGUGAUAGGGAAGGGUAGGUGGCUAAGGUCAUCAAGAGGCAUUUAAAUAUAGGUCAUUGUGGUCGUGACUGGGGUUGAUUAAUAUAUGUUAAAGAGAAUGUCUUUAUAGGACACUUUGUAAAACUACAUGCUAGGGUACAGAUAGUGUCUGGAUCAGGUUUGUUAAUCUGGAUUGAGGUUGUCUGUCUAAAGAGAGAAUACGAAAUUAAAUCAAUAUUAAAAGAAAUAAGGUAAAAAAGCCAUGGGGACUGCCAGGAGCCACGGUUUUGUUAUAAGAUUAGGUUUCAAACCAUCAAGGACUGAUCUGCUGGUUUGGCAGCCAGAAUUUGGAUUAGCGGAAUUUGGUUUAGUAGCUGAAAAUAUCCCACAGGCUAAAUCAACAUUUUGGGUAUGUUUGGGUUCAGAGCAAAUGACACUGCUAGAUCCACGUGCAAAAUGGCAAACAGACCAGCUGAGGCUGGUAUACGGAUGAUCACGGGGGACAGGGACCAAUCAAGGACUGUGGUUCAGACUAACAGGCAAAAUUAGGUUGAUGCAGUCAUCGGGACAGACCUAUAGAUUAUGCUGGUUGAACUUGCUGGUUGGAUAGUGGCACAGAGCCACUGUGCUGAGGGUGAAAUGAGGCUGGAGGUGUACUGCAUGCUUACUACAGUUGGAACAGAUCUUCACUUCACACAAACCAAUGAACAUCUCUGACAGAGAAGAGUAUUUUGGUUGACCUCAAUGGACAUCGGUGUUUCACCUUAGUUUGUUUAUACUUAACACAGGUAUAAACUGAAAAUCUUUGGGUAAAAAUUGUGCGUAACCAAGUUGGGAAUGUGCUAGAGUUGAGGUCUGCUUUCCCUAUCGAGGCAGGAAAUAAAUCAGCCCAGGAAUUUUUUUACCCCUUGAUCCUUGUCCAUAAACAUUAAGUGAAGUUACUGUUAAAAGUUGACAACAGGAAGACUAUUGAUUCCACUGUGUUUGUUCCAUGUUAAAAAUUUUCCCAGUAGAACUGGGAGGGAUGGAAAGCAAUUCAAGCCACUUAAAAUAAUGAGCUAUUUCCUCUCCUUACAGCACUUAAAAUAAUUGUCUUGGGGGAGGGUGAGGAGUCAUUCCUGGCAAUAACUCAAUGGGUUCUCUUCAUUUUAUUCCUUUCAAAGAUAUCAAAGUUUAGAUGUACUAAAUGACUCUUCUACACCUGGCAGCUUUGAUAACACUGUUCACUUCCUAUAAUAAAUAGGAUCAGCCUUCAGCACUACUUUCAUUGACAUUUAUCUUGUGACACUGUUUUCUAUCAGUGCAAGGCUAGACACAGACCUUAUCAUGUUUGUGACAGGUCUUGAGCCUGUCUGCAUAGCUGCUACUGUAAUGAAUAAAUAUCUGCUCCCUUUAUUUAAUAAGCAGACUAGCUGACAUCAAGUGGUGUACAAAGGAAAAAAGGGGAGAGGUUGCACAAGGACUGUCUUUAAUAAAAUGUCAAAAGUGUACCUUUCAAUAGCAAGUUAAAAAGUAGGACAGCAAUCAUGACCUCCUUUACAUGCACCUACUGACCUCCUGUGCUCUUCCACUAUCUGCCUGGGGAGGAUGAGAAGCCUUGUGCUUUGAAUAAUGAAUGUGCUAUCAUUGCUAGGAGAGCCCAGAAGAUUUGUGCCAGGUCUGGCUUUGGAUUGCUAUCAUUUCCCUGGGAGACUCUUUAUUUGCAAAACUCAGAGCUGGUAGAAGAGAUAGUAAUAUUGUUUCAACAAGAGUACUGCUGUCUUGGUUCAGAAGACAGAACCCAUCUGCUAUGGUCAUGAAAUUUCUGAAGAAUGAAGGUUUGUCUUAGUAGCAAGCCAUACCAAUUAAUGCACAUUAUAAAGAUUCUGAGCUUGGAAGACCAAUAACAAACAUAGAGAUCUAUUGAACCACACUGCAUGGAGGCACUAUGGAGGAAGAGUUGAGUGGCAGAAGGAAGUAGUAUUGCAAAUGAGGAGAAGUAAUGAAAAGCAAAUCAACAACACCUAAAUUAUGGAGUGCAGAAGAUUUUACGUGGAUCUUUGUAUGAUGGAAAACAAUCCUAAAAGUAUUUAAACAGUCUUAAUAGUUGUCUCAGUGUCAAGUGACAUUCCCAUAGUUUCUCUGUGCUAGGAGUUUCACUGCUUGGAGCUGAAUAGUCCAUUCAUAUCAAAUGAACUGAAGAGUACCUUCCCUAGAGACUGGUUGAUGUAGGCUGGGAAUAAUAUGCCUUAGCUCCUGUUGAGACUGUGUAAGCUCUGGUGAUGUAGUUUUGUCCUUUAUUACUGUGAUUCUUUCUCUUUGAACUAUUUUUUACUUGAAUAUAUGACCAGCUUCUACUGUUUGAAAUGCAGUUAACCUGAAUUUUUUUAUUUUUCAAGUCUAGAAACGAGAGUAAUGUUGUUGAUAAAUAUAUCAUUAAGAACAAUCUCAUUUUCCACUUCUUAAUAUGACAAAUGUGUGGAAUACCUUACAUCUAUGCUGCUGGAACAAAAAAAAUAGCCAUGAGGAAUUUGUUCCUUGUGCUUUUGCUGGAACUGAAACUAUGCACCUUCACAUUAUUCAGUUUCAUGUGAUACAAAAGUUUCAGGAUCCUGAAUGUUUUCAUGGUGCCAGAGAGCAGUAAAACAUCACAACUGGAUUACAAAGCCACAAAGUCUUCUCUGUCCAGCCACGCUGAACAAAAAGAAAUUUGAAUGGCUUUGUAAGUGAUGUGUUCUUUAUGAAUCAACCUAAUAAAGAGACUCUUACACUACUUUUUGUUUAUUGGUUAGAUUGGCACAACUGCAUGUGCUCUUAUUGUGGCUCUUCUUUGCAUUAAUGAUCUUGUUUCCAAUGCUUUCUCUUUUCAUGUCUAGCUCCAGGCAGGAUUUAACUGUUUUGCUACUAUUUCCCAAGUAAAUAGACUUCAUUUCAAUAAUAUAUGAAAAGAUGCUUCCAUUCAGCUCUCUAAGGUGGUAAGUAGGAUGUGGUUUCCAUAGUCUAACCAGUAAGUUGGGCAUAACCGGCCUCUGCUUAAACCUAACUCUAUUUAGCUGCUUUGGCCUCUCUCAACAGUAUUAGAACCGUCAUGGUCCCAGGAGUGGUUUAAAGAGCAUAUGAGCUCCUUUUAGCAACUCUUGAAGCCCUGAGUAGGUUCAUAUUGUCUGCAGUUCAGUUCUGUGCCUAGCAGUAGUGGUAGUCUUUUCUUAAAAUACAGUCUUUCUUCACUUCUGUCCAUCUUGGACAAAUAUCUGCAAAUUAAUAUGCAAACACCUACCUUUGGUAAAAAUGGCUAGUUCUUAAGAAAAUUAGCUGGUUCAACUUCUCAGUGAUCAACUGUAACUAAGAGGCAUAACUUCAGCCAUUUAUUCUUAAUCCUUUCCAGAGUCAAACCAGAAAUCCUAAAGCCACAAAAUGUUUUUUAUUUCUAUAAAAUUAUUACAAACUCUAAACUGUUUCAUGGUAUUAAAACAAUGAGAUCCCCAAAUGUAUGGCUAUUUCUAAUGGCAAGGCUGAAACCUGGAAAAAUAUUGGCAUCAUUAAAGACAAUGCAAGCUGCAAACGGUAAUAUGAUGCGUCUUCUGGGCUGGCUGAGGAGAGUUAGUCAUGGCUCUGACACGACAUUUUGGCCUGCUGGGCACAGUCCACCUGCAGCAAUGUAUGGCCAGUUUAUGUGCUUUGAUGUCUAGUAAAAUGAUAGAUUUUCAUGCCAUCUACUGAAAUAAGAUAAGGGAAGCUUUGAGGUUUUUUUGUUCUUGUUUAACAGAGGAGAGGUAGAAGAGAUGUGAAUACUCAGACAAGAGGUAUAAGAAACAACCCAACACUUUUCACCAGGGAGAAGAAAAUGGGGGAAUGACUACAGGAAAACAAACAAACAAAGAAACCUACCUGACAAGUCCAUUUUUUGUUUGGAUAUGUGCCUUAAUUUUUCUUCUCAGAAAGUGUCGCUUCUCUUCUAGCAUCUUUUUACAUUCCAGCUACAGCAUGUUUAAUAUACCUACAAAGCUCAUAGACCUGACUUUAUCUAUGCUCAGCUGGCUUUCUCCACCCUGAACUCCCAAGUCCCUCCAUGAUAUACGUUCCCUCAUGCAACAUGUUCCCUUGAUGAGAAGCAGAGCUUUGGUCUAACCCCUUACAACCAGGUGCAGUGAGAAAGCACGUACACCAUUAAGCUGGUCACUGACUGCUGCGACUGACCCAGAUGUUAGGUUUUGGCAAGUCCAAAGGCAGAGUCAGAUGCCAGAUCUGAAAGCAGAAAACUACUCUCUCCUUCAUUGUUACUGAGGCCACAAUUCUGACCUUCAGGAAAUGAAAUUGUACCGUAUGCCACAAUAGAAAAAAUAAAAGGAAAAACAAACAGACAAAAAAGGGGCAAAAAACCCAACCCAACCAACAACAACAAAAACCAAACAAACAACAACAAAAAAACCACACCAAAACAAAAAAAACAAAACCCAAACAAAUAAAAAAACACCACAACACACAAAAAAUCCCACCACAAACAGACAGACAAAGAGACAUGGUAGUCAGGUGUAGAUUACUGACUGGGAGGCACUGAGUGGAAAGGAAGUGGGCAGACAGAAGACAAGAGUAGGAAAAUGUUAUUACAGGAAAAGUGAAGGAGAUUCUGAAGAAAACGACUGCUGGAGACUGAUCUAGCAAGGAUCUGGGUUUAAGCAAAGAGAGCUGGAAAAUGAAGGGCUUUACCAUCUUAUAUGAUGGUUCUUAAUGUUCAGGAGUAAUACUGGGGAAUACAACACCUGGUUGGGCUGUAAGUGGAAGACCAUAAAGAAGGAAAAAUGGGAUACUGUUGGACUGGGACUGGGACUUGAUUGGCAAAAGAAAAAUUAGAAUUCAGCAGUGAGCUCAUGACUAACAGAGCAAGAAGAGUAAGACUGAAAUGAGAAAGCUGAGAAGAGGGAAGGAACUGAGAGAUGUGGAUGAGAGACAUUAUAGUGAGUCAGGAAGCAAUCGAACAGGAAAAGGUAAGAUAUGGGUGAAAACAAAGCCUGUGAUCACAUAAUUAAAGGCAAUGUUGAGAGUAUACAGCAAGAUAGUUUGAGUUAAGCUGCCCAGAGUGAUAUAUAUUCUUGCAAUAUCUUGCAGACUUCUGAGUAUUUAAUUUAUGGGGCCACUACAGGAGUGGAUACAUACUGUUUGCAGGAAGAGGUAAUUUUGUUAGCAAGGAAAGAGGUAGAAGUGCUAACUCUUAACUGAAAACUCAUCGUGCCUAGUGACUGUGCUUUAAUUGCAGAGUUUAUAGCAGAAAAUAUACAUUUUCCCCAAAGACAUGCAGCAAGAUGUAAAGUCACUGAGUUCCAGUGGUUUGGAUGUUUUCAUCACAUGCUACAAAGGUCUACUAUUUUGUCUGCCAUGUUAGUCUUGAAGGUGGUAAGAGAAGCUUGAAGGAUUCAUUUGCAAGAGUAUGUUUAAUCCUAUGAUUUACCUUCCCAAGUCUUUACAGAGAAAUAUUUCUUAUAUACAUAGCAGGAAGAGAUGUAAUUACACUGUCAACCAUGAUACUUUAGAAAGAGAAGUUAAAUCAAAGCAGCUCUUCUUCACAAUAUUUUAAAGCCCAGGACAGCACAUGGCCAAGACUUCACUCAGUAAGGCUGCGUUUGAGUACGUGAUGUUGCUGACACACCUCUGACAUGGAGGGAAUUGUGAAAAAAACUGAACAGGUAGAAGGGUAGCGUGAUCGUACGUGCUCAGGUCAAGUUCUCCAAUACCUAUUCUGUUUUGUUUCUUUUGGGUUUUAGAGUAAGCAGCAAACAAAAAUGUGCAUGGUUUCUGAGACUACCCUACUGUACUGCCAGCCAACUCAAAUGUUCAUCUUCUUUGCAAGUUGCUAAGGAAAUGCCUGAUAAAUCUGGUGAUUUCCUUGCUUCAGUAUAGCUUGCUGGAAAGACUGAAAGUUGUAGACAUAAAAACUAAACAAAAACUGUUGCUAUAUGCAAGAGUAUUUUGGGCACUUGUGUGGGAUACAGUUGAUGCUUUCAUGAGUAUGUAUACAUGAGGAUUAUGUGAGGAAAGACCUUGGUGCUCUGGGUCUCACAAAGGUAGCUGAGUUUUCCGUAGCAUGGAUACUUCUUCCCUUUGUGGACAGAGACAGACAAAUCAGAUUAUGUUUCAGAAGCAAAGCACCAGAAACUGACAUAGUCAUGACCUCUGACAAUAUUAAGAUACUUUAUUAUUCCACAAACAGAUAAGCAAGAACUAUCAGAAUAAAGCUUCUCUGAAAUUUUUCUUUCUUAUGAAAGAUUUAUUAUGUCCUAAGGUUUUACUAUGCAAUUUGAAAAGUUUAUAACUGAGAGGACAAUUUUAAUUUACUCUACAGAUAGGAAUUUGAUGCAUAAAGACAUGAAAUUAUUUUUCUGAAGGUCUCAGAACACCUGAACGAUGAACUAAUGUCUCCUGAAUACUAUUUCAGUAUUAUUUGACUGUGUGCUACACUCACACACCCAGCUUUUUCACUGGGAUUUUUUUUCCCCUCUUCAGGACAAGUGAUCCUCAGGUGACGUUUUUACACCAGUAUGUCACAGACUAAAAAUUGUCCCCACAGAUUUUCCCUAGCUCAUGUGUGAGAUAUCUUUCAUCUGAUCCACUGUGGACACUGGAUGCUGUUUUCUCAAGUCAGCAUACAGGCUGCGAUUUUUAACAGAAUAUAACUACUGGUGCUUGUAUGUAUGUCCAAGUCUGCCCAUAGUAAAAAUGAAAAUGGUUCCUGCAAAGUCAUGGUGUUUGGAAAUAGUGUUGCAAUAAAAUAAUAACAUUCAAUUUCACAGCAAAAAACAUCCCUAUACUCAAGGACAGAGGAUUACGAUGGAUGGUCAUAAGCUGUUUCAUAAGGACAGGCAGCAAAGAAGAGGAGGAGAAGUUGAACACAUAUAGGUUAACUACACUGAUUGUGGAAGUCCUAUCAAAUGCUGCUGGGUCAAGAUCAGAGGGGUUGUCUCCAAGGGGGAUCUUAUAGUGGGCAUCUGCUAUUGACCUCCAGACCAAGGUGAUAGGGCAAACAAAGCAAUAUUUGGGUCACUUAAGCAAGGUUCGUGUCAACAGAACAUCAUUCUUAUGGGUGACCUCAACUACCCAGAGAUUUAUUGGAAGAACAAUACAGCAGCUCACGUGUCAUCCAUUAAGUUUCUGGAAUGCACAGAGGACUACUUCCUCAUGCAAAUGUUAGAUGUGCCAACCAGGAAUGAGGCACUGCUGGACUUUCUACUCACAAACCAGGAAAAUCUGUUUUGUAAUAUCUUGGUUAGUGGUAGUUUUGACUGCAAUGAUCAUGCUCAGAGCUCAGUAGGGAGGAAUUCCAUGGGAAGGUUCCAUGGAGGAUAAAGCAGCUAACAAAUGCUGGAAGUUUUUCAAGAAUGCUCUCCUGUAAGCACAGAAACAGUCUAUCCCCUUUAAAGGUAAGGUAAGCAGGUGGAGCAAGAGACUCCCUUGGCUUAACUGCAAACUUCUGAGUCUGCUCAAAACGAAAAGUGUACCAGAGAUGGCAAGGUGGAUAAAUACCCAUCGAGAACUACAAGCACAUUGCAAGGGUGUGCAGAAAUGCGGUUAGAAAACCAAAAGUUCAGCUCAAAUUGAAAUUGGCCAGAUAUGUCAAGAACUACAAGAAAUAGUUCUUCAGAUAUGUAAAAAACAAGCAGAAACAAAAGGAAAAUGUUGGCCCAGUGUUAAACAGGAGAGAUGAAGUAGUCCCCCAAGUGUGCUGCAAAGGCACAAACUCGGAACACUUUCUUCACCUCUGUUUUUAUCAGCACUGUUGGGUCCUAGGCCUUGAAAGCAGAAAUCCAGGUUGAUGCAAACACAGACCCACCAUCAGUGAAGGAAGAGCUGUUAUAUUAACUACUAUAGGAGCUUGACCCCUACAAAUCCAAGGGCCCUGAUAUUAUCCACUGAAAGGUGUUAAGAGAACUGGCUGAUGUCAUUGCAAGGCUGCUCUCUAUAAUGUUUGAGAAAUGUGGACAUCACAGAGGACUGGAAGAAGUCCAGUGUCACUCCCACCUACAAGAAGGGAUUAAAGAAGGAUCCAGUAAAUUAUAGGCCCAUCAGUCUUACUUCAGCCCCUGGGAAGGUUAUGGAAUGAAUGCCCCCCCUCCUGGGGGCUGUCACAAGUCAUAUGAAACAUGUGAUUGGGAAAAGCCAGCACAGAUUCACCAAAGGCAAGUCAUGUUCAACAAACCUGAUCACAUUCUAUGACAAAGUAAUCUGCUCGGUUGAUGUGGGGUGAGCAGUGGACUUUAUCUCCUUGGCUUUCUCCAAGGCUUUCGAUACAGUUUCUCACAGCCUCUUCCUAGGGACACUAACACAUUACAGUCUAGACAAAUGGUUUCUGCGGUGGGUGAGGAACUGGCUGACAGACCAUACCCAGGGGGUGGUGGUAAAUGGCAACUUGUUUUCAAAUGCCAUUUUCAAACUGGCAACUUGCCACGAGUGGGGUUCCCCAGAGAACAAUAUUAGGCCCAAUGCUGUUUAACUUCUUCAUAAGUGAUCUGGAUGAUGGCAUCAAGUGUACCCUGAUGGAGUUUGCCGAAGACACCAAACUGAGUAGGGAAGCAGACACUUCAGAGAGGAGAGCCACCCUGCAGGAUGGCCUGGAUAGGCUGGAAGAGUGGGCUAGCAAGAACCUUAUGAAGUCCAAUAAGGACAAGUGUAAGGUCUUCCACCUGGGAAAACAUAAUCCAGGAGUGCAGCACAGGCUGGGAUCUACCAAACUGGGGAGCAGGGUUUGUGGAAAGGGACCUGGAGGUCCUGGUGGACAAUAAGCUCAAUACAAGAGAAUAGUGUGCUGCUGCAGUGAAGAAAGCCAACAAGAUGCUGGGCUGCAUCAACAAGGGCAUCACCAGCAGAGAUAAAGAAGUCAUUAUCACGCUCUACUCACUGCUUGUCAGGCCACACGUGGAAUACUGUGUUCAGUUUUGGUCCAUGAUAUGCAAAAAAAGAUGUGGACAGUCUGUAGAUGGUCCAGUGAAGGAACACAAAGAUGAUUAAAGGACUUGGAAGCCUGUCAUAGGAGGAAAGGCUGAGAGAACAGGGCUUCUCAGCCUUGAGAAAAGAAGGCUUAGAGGAGGCCUCAUCACUAUGUUCCAGUAUUUAAAGGGUGGCUAUGAAGAAGAUGCAGAUUCUGUUUUUACAAGUAGUCACAUGGAAAAGAGGAGGGCUAAUGGCUACAAGUUACCCCUGGGGAGAUUCCAGUUGGAUACAAGAGGGAAAUUUUUCACAACGAGGACAAUCAGCCAUUGAAAUAAUCUCCCCAGGAAAAUGGUGGAUUUCCCAGCAACAGACUCGUUGAGGAUUCAGCUGGACAAGAUGCUGGGUCAUCUUGUACAGACGGUGCUUUUGCCCAGAAAGGUUGGACCAGUUGAUCCUUGAGGGCCAAUCCAACCUGGUAUUCUAUGAUUCUGUGAUUCUAUGAUUCCACAAUCUAGAAAUUCUCCCAAGCAAGUCUUGUAUUUCCUCCUGUAACAUGUCAAAACAGCAAAAGAUGAGCAUGAUUCAUACUAUAUUGUUAUUCUGCCGCUUCCUUAUGUGGCAUAUCUGACUGCUUCUAGAAGUUUAGUUUGCUUUCUGCUGUAGAUGUGAUGUAAGCUAAUGCUUGGGCCUGAUGUGAGGGGUUUGCACAACUCUAGAGGAAACUGGAUGGUUGGAGGGUUUUUGUCUCAGAGAAAAAGGCUUCAAUCUAGACUGUUGCAUUAACUAGACUUGUUUUGUUUAUUUUAUUUCUAAAACUCAUACACAUUAUGAAGGUCACAGCAGCUAAAGGAUUCUUCUGUUGGUGUAAUGGGAACACAGCUCGUUGAAACAGUUUGUAAACCAGCGGCUCACAAACAUCAGGCUAGAAACCAGUUACCUAGUUAAACUGCAUGACCAGAGUUCAUAAAGUCAAGUUGACAAUGAGAUCCUUGGAAAAUGCAGAUGGGCCCUGGGACCCCUGAACCUCUGUGCUGGAAGACUAUGACUGGAGGAAUUAUAAACUCCCAGCUGCCUCUGGACUUGUUCAAGACUUAAUGCUCCAGUCUUGGCAGUCUGAAGAGGUCCCAGAUGACUGGAAGCUGGCAAAUGUUGUCCCAAUUUUCAAGAAGCAUAAGAGGGAAGACUCUGGUAAUUACAGGCCUGUCAGUCUCACUUCAGUGCCUUGUAAAAUUAUGGAAAUGAUUAUUCUGGAAGUUAUUGAAAAACACUGGCUAGCACAGGUUCAUGAGUGGGAAGUCCUACUUAACUAACUUAAUUUCCUUCUUUGACAAGGUCACCCAUCUAGUUGCCUAAGGAAAGUGAGUGGAACUGCUUUUUUUCUUCAUUUUAGCAAAGCUUUUGAUACUGUCUCUCGGAGUAUCCUUCUGGACAAAAUGUCCAGCAUACACCUAGACAAGUUCAUAAUACAUUGGGCGAGCAACUGGCUGUUGGGCUGGUCUCAAAGAGUUACCAUAAAUGGGGUGUCAUGGUUUAACCUGAACUAUCAAUAUAAUCAUAAUAGUCACACACUCCCCCACCUCCCACUCCCGACUAGGGAGAGAAUCGAAAGGGAAGGGAGAAACUCGUGUGUUGAGAUAAACACAGCUUAAUAACAUAACAAAAUAACACUAACAUACUACCACUAAUAUAUAUAAAACAUAAUAUAAAAUAAAAGAUACUCAUUGCAAUUCCUCACAAACUCUGUCUGCACCAAGCAGCCAGUUCGCACCUGGUCCUGAACAGGCGAUUCUGGAGAGAGAAGAGAGAAAAAGGCAGAAAGGCCCAGAGGCCUUUGCAAAAUGGCAGGAAGAAACUCACAAACAGCACUCCACUGAAACAGAGCAGAACCAGAACAGGUUUCCACCCCUUGACUCCAUCCCAUCUACUAGCUGGAAGAUCCUAACUCUCCUUAAAUAUGAAGUAUGACUCUAAUGGAUGGAAUAUUCUUAUUGAUCAGUCUGGACAGCAGUCAAGGUCUGCCCCACCUAUGCCCCUCUUCUUAGCUGCCUCACACCUGUGGGCAGAGAGCACUGAAAGUCCUUGGCUCCCAGACAACAACAAUUAAAAACUUUAACUCUGUCCCGAGAUGUUAUCUUCUUGUUCUCAAACUAAAUCCAAACAAUGACUGUGCUAGCUACAAAAAGUUUCUAUCUGCAUGAAAAAAAUUAACUCACUUUCAGACAAACCAACACAUGGGGUUACAUAAGGCUGGUGGUCAGUCACUAGUGGGGUUCCCCAGGACUCAGUUUUAGGGACAGUGCUCUUUAAUGUUUUUAUCGAUUAUCUGAACACAGGAAUCAAAUGUACAUUAAGCAAGUCUUGCAAUGAUAGUACACUACGAGGAAGUAUGGUCUCGCUUUAGAAUAGGGAGGCCUUAAAGAGAGACCUGGGUAGACUGGACAGCUGGGCAACCACCAGCCAUAUGAAAUUUAACAAGAGAAGUGCUGAAUUCUUCACCUGUAAUGGGGUAAUCCUCGUUAUACAUACAAACUGAGAGAUGAGAGUCUGGAGUGCAGCCCCACAGAAAGAGACCUGGGUGGUUGGGUUGACAGCAAGUUGAACAUGAGCCAACGGUAUGCCCUGGCAACCAAAGGGGCCAACAGUGUCCUGGGGUGCAUCAAGCACAACAUCACUGGUCAGUCAAGGGAGAUCAUUGUCUCACUCUACACUGCACUGGUGUGGCCUCACUUUGAGUACUGUGUGUGGUUCUAGGCAAUUCAAUAUAAGAAGGAUCUCAAACUCUUCCAGUAUGUCCAGAGAAGGGAGACCAAGGUGUUGAAAGGCUUUAAGAGCAAGACUUACGAGGAGUGGCUGAGGUCACUUGCUUUGUUCAGUUUGCACAAGAGAAUGCUGAGGGGUGACCUCAUCCCGGUCAACAACUUCCUUACAGGGGGCAGCAGAUGGCAGGUGCUGAUCUCAUAUCUCUGGUGACUAGUGGACAAGACACAAGGAAACUGAAUGAAACCUCAUCAGGGGAAGUUCAGACUGGACAUUAGGAAAAGGAUCUUCACUGAGAAAGUGGUCAGUCACUAGGGAAGUGGACACAGCACCAAGCCUGUCAAAGCUCAAGAAGCAUCUAGACGAUGCACUAACAACUGUUUAGUUUUAGGUAGUCCUGUGAGGACCAGGAAUUCAGACUCGAUGAUCCUCAGGGGCUCCUUCCAACUUGAGAUACUCUAUGAAUCUACAAUAGAGGAUCUGUACCACAGGACAAAAACACAACUUCAGGACUUUGGUGUACAUGUUUCUGUUUAUUUAAAGAGAAACCUAUGUCCUUGAAAUACAGAUUAGUCUUCCAAGUCUGGUAACCCUGGAGAUUUAACAGAGUGACUUUAGCAUAGACAUAUAUUUUCACCUUUGUAAUUCAAGAAUAAACCCACUGACUUGUAUGCUGUUAUACUGAUG